This 88-nucleotide transfer RNA is filed under the name Candidatus Cloacimonas sp. SDB. Its description in RNAcentral is "tRNA-Leu". It matches the Rfam family "tRNA". Rfam says of the family: Transfer RNA (tRNA) molecules are approximately 80 nucleotides in length. Their secondary structure includes four short double-helical elements and three loops (D, anti-codon, and T loops). Further hydrogen bonds mediate the characteristic L-shaped molecular structure. tRNAs have two regions of fundamental functional importance: the anti-codon, which is responsible for specific mRNA codon recognition, and the 3' end, to which the tRNAs corresponding amino acid is attached (by aminoacyl-tRNA synthetases). tRNAs cope with the degeneracy of the genetic code in two manners: having more than one tRNA (with a specific anti-codon) for a particular amino acid; and 'wobble' base-pairing, i.e. permitting non-standard base-pairing at the 3rd anti-codon position. RNAcentral also lists the same sequence under 2 other names. Lineage: Bacteria; Pseudomonadati; Candidatus Cloacimonadota; Cloacimonadia (SeqCode); Cloacimonadales (SeqCode); Cloacimonadaceae (SeqCode). The record is from RNAcentral.
GCUGAAGUGGUGAAAUUGGUAGACACGCUAGGUUCAGGGUCUAGUGGGCAAUAUGCCUGUAGGGGUUCGAGUCCCCUCUUCAGCACCA